UAAAAUAACAAAGUUAGGGAGGCCCAAAAGGAUGAGAGCAGUUCAAUGAUUUGAAUAAAAUUCUUCAGAUUAGGAUGUAAGAGUUUUAGUCAUCUGUAAAUCUUAUUCUCUACUUUACUACUUUCCCCCAAUUAAUUCUUUUUCGUGAAAAUAAUAAGUUCCUAUUUGCUGUUCCAGAAUGAUAAAGAAUGCUGAGCAAUGCUACGUGAAGAUCAUAACAGUGGAUCACCAAUGCUUUUGCACGAAUCAAAGGUUAAAAUUUAGAUCCUUCUCUCUCAAACACACACAUUUAAAAUAAAUAAAAAAUAAAAAUUGGAUCUAGCUUUUAUUAUUUAACAAUUUAUUCAUGUUUCUCCCUCUGUUUUGCAGUGUUUUGCCUUGUUCUUGGUCCUUGACAGGUGCCAAAGUAUUGGAACUGCUCGCUCUUAGCAAGAGAUUGUAUACCGGAAAUAGUAUGUAUAUUGAAUCC
This 469-nucleotide long non-coding RNA is filed under the name Olea europaea (common olive). Its description in RNAcentral is "long non-coding RNA (OEUR_LNC001290)". Lineage: Eukaryota; Viridiplantae; Streptophyta; Magnoliopsida; Lamiales; Oleaceae. The record is from RNAcentral.